Molecule: long non-coding RNA, 290 nt
Filed under: Physcomitrium patens
Lineage: Eukaryota; Viridiplantae; Streptophyta; Bryopsida; Funariales; Funariaceae
Description: long non-coding RNA (PPAT_LNC001477)
Source: RNAcentral
CCAAAGACUCAAAAUGGUGAAGGAAAGGGAGAAAGAUGAAGGUUAAGAAUGGAAGAAGUAGCUUUGGACAUGGAGGGAGUGAGGAUUGGAAAUAAAGGAGGUCAGGAUGAAAGCUGAGAAUAGAGAAAGCAAAGGUUAAGAACAAGGGAUUGAAUGAAGGCCAUGAUUUUAAUGAUAGUUUUUAGACACGAUCCAUUUUUCUAAUAAUGAUUAUGAUAGGAUGGAUUGAUUUAGUAAAUGGGUAGAUCACUUUUAUAUUUUUUUAUAUAUGUUUAUUGUAUAUAUAUAUA